RNAcentral lists this ribosomal RNA (254 nucleotides) under uncultured bacterium. RNAcentral describes it as "partial 16S ribosomal RNA". It matches the Rfam family "Bacterial small subunit ribosomal RNA", at positions 524 to 776 of the family's 1533-position model. The record is from RNAcentral.
UACGAAGGGAGCUAGCGUUGUUCGGAAUCACUGGGCGUAAAGCGCACGUAGGCGGAUGUGUCAGUCAGGGGGUGAAAUCCCGGAGCUCAACUUCGGAACUGCCCUUGAUACAGCACGUCUUGAGUCCGGAAGAGGUGGGUGGAAUUCCUAGUGUAGAGGUGAAAUUCGUAGAUAUUAGGAAGAACACCGGUGGCGAAGGCGGCCCACUGGAUCGGUACUGACGCUGAGGUGCGAAAGCGUGGGGAGCAAACAGG